Molecule: ribosomal RNA, 484 nt
Filed under: uncultured bacterium
Lineage: Bacteria
Description: partial 16S ribosomal RNA
Rfam family: Bacterial small subunit ribosomal RNA
Source: RNAcentral
AUUGAACGCUGGCGGCAGGCCUAACACAUGCAAGUCGAGCGGAUGAAGGGAGCUUGCUCCUGGAUUCAGCGGCGGACGGGUGAGUAAUGCCUAGGAAUCUGCCUGGUAGUGGGGGAUGACGUCCGGAAACGGGCGCUAAUACCGCAUACGUCCUGAGGGAGAAAGUGGGGGAUCUUCGGACCUCACGCUAUCAGAUGAGCCUAGGUCGGAUUAGCUAGUUGGUGGGGUAAAGGCCUACCAAGGCGACGAUCCGUAACUGGCCUGAGAGGAUGAUCAGUCACACUGGAACUGAGACACGGUCCAGACUCCUACGGGAGGCAGCAGUGGGGAAUAUUGGACAAUGGGCGAAAGCCUGAUCCAGCCAUGCCGCGUGUGUGAAGAAGGUCUUCGGAUUGUAAAGCACUUUAAGUUGGGAGGAAGGGCAGUAAGUUAAUACCUUGCUGUUUUGACGGUACCAACAGAAUAAGCACCGGCUAACUUCGUG